RNAcentral lists this ribosomal RNA (497 nucleotides) under uncultured bacterium. RNAcentral's name for it is "partial 16S ribosomal RNA". It matches the Rfam family "Bacterial small subunit ribosomal RNA", at positions 28 to 507 of the family's 1533-position model. The record is from RNAcentral.
GAUGAACGCUGGCGGCGUGCCUAAUACACGCCAGUCGAGCGAACAGACGAGGAGCUUGCUCCUUUGACGUUAGCGGCGGACGGGUGAGUAACACGUGGAUAACCUACCUAUAAGACUGGGAUAACUUCGGGAAACCGGAGCUAAUACCGGAUAACAUGUUGAACCGCAUGGUUCAACAGUGAAAGACGGUCUUGCUGUCACUUAUAGAUGGAUCCGCGCCGCAUUAGCUAGUUGGUAAGGUAACGGCUUACCAAGGCAACGAUGCGUAGCCGACCUGAGAGGGUGAUCGGCCACACUGGAACUGAGACACGGUCCAGACUCCUACGGGAGGCAGCAGUAGGGAAUCUUCCGCAAUGGGCGAAAGCCUGACGGAGCAACGCCGCGUGAGUGAAGAAGGUCUUCGGAUCGUAAAACUCUGUUAUUAGGGAAGAACAAAUGUGUAAGUAACUAUGCACGUCUUGACGGUACCUAAUCAGAAAGCCACGGCUAACUACGUG